RNAcentral lists this transfer RNA (77 nucleotides) under bacterium. RNAcentral describes it as "tRNA-Arg". It matches the Rfam family "tRNA". From Rfam's summary of the family: Transfer RNA (tRNA) molecules are approximately 80 nucleotides in length. Their secondary structure includes four short double-helical elements and three loops (D, anti-codon, and T loops). The record is from RNAcentral. RNAcentral also lists the same sequence under 1 other name.
ACGCUCUUAGCUCAGCUGGAUAGAGCAACAGCCUUCUAAGCUGUGGGUCAGUGGUUCGAAUCCACUAGGGCGUACCA